This 515-nucleotide ribosomal RNA is filed under the name uncultured bacterium. RNAcentral's name for it is "bacterial SSU rRNA". It matches the Rfam family "Bacterial small subunit ribosomal RNA", at positions 791 to 1303 of the family's 1533-position model. The record is from RNAcentral.
UAGUCCACGCCGUAAACGAUGGUCACUCGAUAUAUGCCCCAUUGGGGGUGUGUGUCCUAGCGAAAGCGUUAAGUGACCCACCUGGGGAGUACGUUCGCAAGAAUAAAACUUAAAGGAAUUGACGGGGUCCGCACAAGCGGUGGAGCAUGCGGUUUAAUUCGAAGCAACACGAAGAACCUUACCAGCUUUUGACAUGAGAAUUAGGGGGUUUUAGAGAUAAAGCCCGUCGGUUCGGCCGGAUUCUACACAGGUGCUGCAUGGCUGUCGUCAGCUCGUGUCGUGAGAUGUUGGGUUAAGUCCCGCAACGAGCGCAACCCUCAUCCUUAGUUGCCAUCAGGUUUGGCUGGGGACUCUAAGGAAACUGCCGGUGAUAAGCCGGAGGAAGGUGAGGAUGACGUCAGGUCCUCAUGGCCCUUACGGGCUGGGCUACACGCGUGCUACAAUGGCGGCUACAAUGGGAUGCAAUAGGGUGACCUGGAGCUAAUCCUCAAAGGCCGUCUCAGUUCGGAUUGUCU